GGCAGCAGGCGCGCAAAUUACCCACUCCCGGCACGGGGAGGUAGUGACGAAAAAUAACGAUACGGGACUCAUCCGAGGCCCCGUAAUCGGAAUGAGUACACUCUAAACCCUUUAACGAGGAUCAAUUGGAGGGCAAGUCUGGUGCCAGCAGCCGCGGUAAUUCCAGCUCCAAUAGCGUAUAUUAAAGUUGUUGCGGUUAAAAAGCUCGUAGUCGAAUUUGUGUUUCGCGCCGCCGGUUCAUCGCUCGCGGUGUUCAACUGGCGUGUCGCGGAACGUCCUGCCGGUGGGACCGGGCGUUCGCGUCCGGCCCCAACUUUAAAUCCUGCCGCGGUGCUCUUCAUUGAGUGUCGAGGUAGGCCGGCACGUUUACUUUGAACAAAUUAGAGUGCUCAAAGCAGGCUAAAAUUUCGCCUGAAUAUUCUGUGCAUGGAAUAAUGGAAUAGGACCUCGGUUCUAUUUUGUUGGUUUUCGGAACCCCGAGGUAAUGAUUAAUAGGAACGGAUGGGGGCAUUCGUAUUGCGACGUUAGAGGUGAAAUUCUUGGAUCGUCGCAAGACGGACAGAAGCGAAAGCAUUUGCCAAAAACGUUUUCAUUGAUCAAGAACGAAAGUUAGAGGUUCGAAGGCGAUCAGAUACCGCCCUAGUUCUAACCAUAAACGAUGCCAGCUAGCGAUCCGCCGACGUUCCUCCGAUGACUCGGCGGGCAGCUUCCGGGAAACCAAAGCUUUUGGGUUCCGGGGGAAGUAUGGUUGCAAAGCUGAAACUUAAAGGAAUUGACGGAAGGGCACCACCAGGAGUGGAGCCUGCGGCUUAAUUUGACUCAACACGGGAAACCUCACCAGGCCCGGACACCGGAAGGAUUGACAGAUUGAGAGCUCUUUCUUGAUUCGGUGGGUGGUGGUGCAUGGCCGUUCUUAGUUGGUGGAGCGAUUUGUCUGGUUAAUUCCGAUAACGAACGAGACUCUAGCCUGCUAACUAGGCGUAUUUUCGACAUCCGAAAGGCCAGGCUGCCGUGGCGCUCGCGUCGCGGUUGUCCGCGGUUUUUGCUGUCGGCGUACAACACAUUCUUCUUAGAGGGACAGGCGGCUUCUAGCCGCACGAGAUUGAGCAAUAACAGGUCUGUGAUGCCCUUAGAUGUUCUGGGCCGCACGCGCGCUACACUGAAGGAAUCAGCGUGUCUUCCCUGUCCGAGAGGACCGGGUAACCCGCUGAACCUCCUUCGUGCUAGGGAUUGGGGCUUGCAAUUGUUCCCCAUGAACGAGGAAUUCCCAGUAAGCGCGAGUCAUAAGCUCGCGUUGAUUACGUCCCUGCCCUUUGUACACACCGCCCGUCGCUACUACCGAUUGAAUGAUUUAGUGAGGUCUUCGGAUCGGUACGCGGCAGCGUUCGCGCGUUGCCGAUGUUGCUGAAAAGAUGACCAAA
RNAcentral lists this ribosomal RNA (1421 nucleotides) under Cryptopleurum minutum. RNAcentral describes it as "SSU rRNA". It matches the Rfam family "Eukaryotic small subunit ribosomal RNA", at positions 424 to 1763 of the family's 1831-position model. The record is from RNAcentral. Lineage: Eukaryota; Metazoa; Arthropoda; Insecta; Coleoptera; Hydrophilidae.